GGCGGACGGGUGAGGAACACGUAGGAAUCUACCUAGAAGAGCGGGACAACCUUGGGAAACCGGGGCUAAUACCGCAUAGUACAGUGAUGUUAAAGGGCUAGCAAUAGUCGCUUCUAGAUGAGCCUGUGGUCUAUCAGCUUGUUGGCGGGGUAACGGCCCACCAAGGCGACGACGGAUAGCCGGUCUGAGAGGAUGAUCGGCCACACUGGCACUGAGACACGGGCCAGACUCCUACGGGAGGCAGCAGUUAAGAAUCUUGCGCAAUGGACGAAAGUCUGACGCAGCGACGCCGCGUGAAGGAUGAAGGCUUUCGGGUUGUAAACUUCGGUAGACUGGGAAGAAAAAGUAAGUUCGUUGAGGGCUUACAUUGACGGUACCAGUCUGAAGCCCCGGCUAAUUACGUGCCAGCAGCCGCGGUAAUACGUAUGGGGCAAGCGUUGUUCGGAAUUAUUGGGCGUAAAGGGCUCGCAGGUGGUUUGUUAAGUUGGUGGUUUAAUCUCUGGGCUCAACCCAGAGUCAGCCUCCAAAACUGGCGAACUUGAGUACGAUAGGGGAUAGCGGAAUUCUCGGUGUAGCGGUGGAAUGCGUAGAUAUCGAGAGGAACACCAAUGGCGAAGGCAGCUAUCUGGAUCGUAACUGACACUCAUGAGCGAAAGUGCGGGGAGCAAACAGGAUUAGAUACCCUGGUAGUCCGCACCGUAAACGUUGUAUACUAGUUGUUGGCGGUUUCAACGCCGUCAGUGACGACGCUAACGCAUUAAGUAUACCGCCUGGGGAGUAUGCUCGCAAGGGUGAAACUCAAAGAAAUUGACGGGGGCCCGCACAAGCGGUGGAGCGCCUGGUUUAAUUCGAUGAUCAACGAAGAACCUCACCUGGGCUUAAACAGUAGCUGUAUUACGUAAGAAAAGACGUAAGCUUUGAGAUCGCUACAGAGGUGCUGCAUGGCUGUCGUCAGCUCGUGUCGUGAGAUGUAGGGUUAAGUCCCACAACGAGCGCAACC
RNAcentral lists this ribosomal RNA (1000 nucleotides) under uncultured Brevibacillus sp. RNAcentral describes it as "bacterial SSU rRNA". It matches the Rfam family "Bacterial small subunit ribosomal RNA", at positions 97 to 1103 of the family's 1533-position model. The record is from RNAcentral. Lineage: Bacteria; Bacillati; Bacillota; Bacilli; Caryophanales; Paenibacillaceae.